GGGGAAUUUUGGACAAUGGGCGCAAGCCUGAUCCAGCAAUGCCGCGUGCAGGAUGAAGGCCUUCGGGUUGUAAACUGCUUUUGUACGGAACGAAACGGUCCUUUCUAAUAUAAGGGGCUAAUGACGGUACCGUAAGAAUAAGCACCGGCUAACUACGUGCCAGCAGCCGCGGUAAUACGUAGGGUGCGAGCGUUAAUCGGAAUUACUGGGCGUAAAGCGUGCGCAGGCGGUUUUGUAAGACAGAUGUGAAAUCCCCGGGCUCAACCUGGGACCUGCAUUUGUGACUGCAAAGCUAGAGUACGGUAGAGGGGGAUGGAAUUCCGCGUGUAGCAGUGAAAUGCGUAGAUAUGCGGAGGAACACCGAUGGCGAAGGCAAUCCCCUGGACCUGUACUGACGCUCAUGCACGAAAGCGUGGGGAGCAAAC
Molecule: ribosomal RNA, 425 nt
Filed under: uncultured bacterium
Lineage: Bacteria
Description: bacterial SSU rRNA
Rfam family: Bacterial small subunit ribosomal RNA
Source: RNAcentral